AGAGUUUGAUCCUGGCUCAGGAUGAACGCUAGCGGCAGGCCUAAUACAUGCAAGUCGAACGGGAGUAGCAAUACUCUAGUGGCGCACGGGUGCGUAACGCGUAUGCAACCUACCUUUCAGUGGGGGAUAGCCCGGGGAAACCCGGAUUAAUACCGCAUAAGAUAAUUAAGUGGCAUCAUUUAAUUAUGAAACAUUUAUGGCUGAAAGAUGGGCAUGCGUUAGAUUAGCUAGUUGGUGAGGUAGAGGCUCACCAAGGCUAUGAUCUAUAGGGGUUCUGAGAGGAAGAUCCCCCACACUGGUACUGAGACAGGGACCAGACUCCUACGGGAGGCAGCAGUAGGGAAUAUUGGGCAAUGGAGGCAACUCUGACCCAGCCAUGCCGCGUGCAGGAAGAAGGCCUUCUGGGUUGUAAACUGCUUUUGGAAGGGAACAAAACGGGCAUGCGUGCCAACUUGAGUGUACCUUCAGAAUAAGCACCGGCUAACUCCGUGCCAGCAGCCGCGGUAAUACGGAGGGUGCAAGCGUUGUCCGGAUUUAUUGGGUUUAAAGGGUGCGUAGGCGGCUUAUUAAGUCAGGGGUGAAAGACCGCAGCUCAACUGUAGCAGUGCCUUUGAUACUGAUGAGCUUGAGUACAGAUGAGGCAGGCGGAAUGGGUGGUGUAGCGGUGAAAUGCAUAGAUACCAUCCAGAACACCGAUUGCGAAGGCAGCCUGCUAAACUGUAACUGACGCUGAGGCACGAAAGCGUGGGGAUCGAACAGGAUUAGAUACCCUAGUAGUCC
This 780-nucleotide ribosomal RNA is filed under the name uncultured bacterium. Its description in RNAcentral is "bacterial SSU rRNA". It matches the Rfam family "Bacterial small subunit ribosomal RNA", at positions 8 to 796 of the family's 1533-position model. The record is from RNAcentral.